UGCAGUCGAGGGGUAUAGUUCUUCGGAACUAGAGACCGGCGCACGGGUGCGUAACGCGUAUGCAAUCUACCUUUUACAGAGGGAUAGCCCAGAGAAAUUUGGAUUAAUACCUCAUAGUAUAUAGCCCUGGCAUCAGGAUUAUAUUAAAGUCACAACGGUAAAAGAUGAGCAUGCGUCCCAUUAGCUAGUUGGUAAGGUAACGGCUUACCAAGGCUACGAUGGGUAGGGGUCCUGAGAGGGAGAUCCCCCACACUGGUACUGGGACACGGACCAGACUCCUACGGGAGGCAGCAGUGAGGAAUAGUGGACAAUGGGCGCAAGCCUGAUCCAGCCAUGCCGCGUGCAGGAUGACGGUCCUAUGGAUUGUAAACUGCUUUUAUACGAGAAGAAACACUCCUUCGUGAAGGAGCUUGACGGUAUCGUAAGAAUAAGGAUCGGCUAACUCCGUGCCAGCAGCCGCGGUAAUACGGAGGAUCCAAGCGUUAUCCGGAAUCAUUGGGUUUAAAGGGUCCGUAGGCGGUUUAAUAAGUCAGUGGUGAAAGCCCAUCGCUCAACGGUGGAACGGCCAUUGAUACUGUUAGACUUGAAUUAUUAGGAAGUAACUAGAAUAUGUAGUGUAGCGGUGAAAUGCUUAGAGAUUACAUGGAAUACCAAUUGCGAAGGCAGGUUACUACUAAUUGAUUGACGCUGAUGGACGAAAGCGUGGGUAGCGAACAGGAUUAGAUACCCUGGUAGUCCACGCCGUAAACGAUGGAUACUAGCUGUUGGAAGC
RNAcentral lists this ribosomal RNA (772 nucleotides) under uncultured bacterium. RNAcentral describes it as "bacterial SSU rRNA". It matches the Rfam family "Bacterial small subunit ribosomal RNA", at positions 56 to 830 of the family's 1533-position model. The record is from RNAcentral.